This 329-nucleotide unclassified non-coding RNA is filed under the name soil metagenome. Its description in RNAcentral is "partial contains 5.8S ribosomal RNA, internal transcribed spacer 2, and large subunit ribosomal RNA". The stretch from base 1 to 120 matches the Rfam family "5.8S ribosomal RNA", at positions 35 to 154 of the family's 154-position model. The record is from RNAcentral.
GAUGAAGAACGCAGCGAAAUGCGAUAAGUAAUGUGAAUUGCAGAAUUCAGUGAAUCAUCGAAUCUUUGAACGCACAUUGCGCCCUCUGGUAUUCCGGGGGGCAUGCCUGUCCGAGCGUCAUUACAACCCUCAAGCUCAGCUUGGUGUUGGGCCCCGCCGCCCCGGCGGGCCCUAAAGUCAGUGGCGGUGCCGUCCGGCUCCGAGCGUAGUAAUUCUUCUCGCUCUGGAGGCCCGGUCGUGUGCUCGCCAGCAACCCCCAAUUUUUUUCAGGUUGACCUCGGAUCAGGUAGGGAUACCCGCUGAACUUAAGCAUAUCAAUAAGCGGAGGA